RNAcentral lists this long non-coding RNA (558 nucleotides) under Zonotrichia albicollis (white-throated sparrow). RNAcentral describes it as "lncRNA (ENSZALG00000001026.1)". Lineage: Eukaryota; Metazoa; Chordata; Aves; Passeriformes; Passerellidae. The record is from RNAcentral.
UACCGGCAGAUGGAGGAGAGGAUCACCUGCCCCAUCUGCAUCGACGACCAGAUCAAGCUGGUGUUCCAGUGCGGGCACGGCUCCUGCCCGGACUGCAGCACGGCGCUGACCGUGUGCCCCAUCUGCCGCCAGGCCAUCCGCGAGAGGAUCCACAUCUUCGUCUGAGGGAGGAUCCGCCUCUUCCUCUGAGGGAGGAUCCAGUCUUUGUCUGAGGGAGGAUCCUCAUCUUCGUCUGAGGGAGGAUCUGCAUCUUCGUCUGAGGGAGGAUCCACAUCUUCGUCUGAGGGGGAAUCCACAUCUUCGUCUGAGGGAGGAUCCACAUCUUCGUCUGAGGGAGGAUUCUGCUCCUCCCUGUGCCCCAUCUGCCUCCAGGCCGUCCCAAGAGGAUCCCCAUCUUUGGCUGAGUGAGGAUGCUGCUCCUCCCUCCACCCAGGGCAGGAUCCCCAUCUUUGUCUGAGUGAGGAUCUGCUCCUCCCUGUGUCCCACCUGCCUCCCGGCUGUCUGGGAGAGGAUCCACAUCUUCCUCUGAGGAUUCUGCUCCUCCCUGGCCCUGACUGU